ACGUAGGGGGCAAGCGUUAUCCGGAUUUACUGGGUGUAAAGGGAGCGCAGACGGCACUGCAAGUCUGAAGUGAAAGCCCGGGGCUCAACCCCGGGACUGCUUUGGAAACUGUAGAGCUAGAGUGCUGGAGAGGCAAGCGGAAUUCCUAGUGUAGCGGUGAAAUGCGUAGAUAUUAGGAAGAACACCAGUGGCGAAGGCGGCUUGCUGGACAGUAACUGACGUUCAGGCUCGAAAGCGUGGGGAGCAAACAG
Molecule: ribosomal RNA, 251 nt
Filed under: uncultured bacterium
Lineage: Bacteria
Also listed under: 1 other name
Description: partial 16S ribosomal RNA
Rfam family: Bacterial small subunit ribosomal RNA
Source: RNAcentral